CUCACCCAGCCCUGUUGUUCAACAAACAUUCUCCACAUUUUAGCUGCUGCUUCACGCAGAAAUUGUCUUCUUUUCCCUGCCUUUCUGAAGAGCCUGUCUUUUGCAGCACUACAGCCACCAACAUCAAAAGUCCUGUCAAUAUCAGGCCUUCUCCAUGGGAAGCGGGAAGCAGACAUUCCUUGAAGAAGGCUGCCUACUUCCUGAAGUUUGCCACCUAAGGGAGCUCAGACAGAAUGGAGGAUGGUGACUAAUGAGGUGAUGGCAGGUCCUGCUCGAAGGUUUUGUUGUUGAUUUAGCAACGUGUAAACCAGGUUACACACCGUGAGGAAGCCGAUGGCACGUACACAGAGGCCCAACACACACACCUCCUCCUCUCUGCCUGUUCUCUCCCCUGGCAAAGGACAGGCUGCUAGACUGCCAGCUUACAUUCAAGUCAGAGAGU
Non-coding RNA from Cyanistes caeruleus (blue tit), 442 nucleotides. The record is from RefSeq and is a predicted model, not a curated record. Lineage: Eukaryota; Metazoa; Chordata; Aves; Passeriformes; Paridae.